RNAcentral lists this ribosomal RNA (398 nucleotides) under uncultured bacterium. RNAcentral describes it as "bacterial SSU rRNA". It matches the Rfam family "Bacterial small subunit ribosomal RNA", at positions 362 to 775 of the family's 1533-position model. The record is from RNAcentral.
UAUUGCACAAUGGGGGAAACCCUGAUGCAGCGACGCCGCGUGAGUGAAGAAGUAUUUCGGUAUGUAAAGCUCUAUCAUCAGGGAAGAAGAAAUUACGGUACCUGAGUAAGCAGCACCGGCUAAAUACGUUCUAGCAGCCGCGGUAAUACGUAUGGUGCAAGCGUUAUCCGGAUUUACUGGGUGUAAAGGGAGCGCAGGCGGCACGGCAAGCCUGAUGUGAAAGCCCGCGGCCCAACCGCGGGACUGCAUUGGGAACUACCGGGCUGGAGUGCCGGAGAGGUAGGCGGAAUUCCUAGUGUAGCGGUGAAAUGCGUAGAUAUUAGGAGGAACACCAGUGGCGAAGGCGGCUUACUGGACUGUAACUGACGUUGAGGCUCGAAAGCGUGGGGAGCAAACAG